GCGAAGAGAGGUGGCUAUCCAUCUGAAAGGAGCUCGGAUGCUGCUGGCGGGCUGUCUACCGUUGGGUGCCUUGAGCGUUAGUACUAUAGGCGAGGGCCAUUUGCUGUAGGAGCCCAAUCAGAGGCUUUCUGUAGAUGAAGUCUGGCUCCCGUAGGAGUCCGGAUGAAGUCUUCCUGCAGUCGGAGUCGGAGAUGAAGUCCGGCUCCCGUAGGAGUCCGGACAAAGUCUACCUGCAAUUGAAGUCAGGGACGAAGCCCGGCUCCCGUAGG
RNAcentral lists this long non-coding RNA (269 nucleotides) under Elaeis guineensis (African oil palm). RNAcentral describes it as "long non-coding RNA (EGUI_LNC037687)". Lineage: Eukaryota; Viridiplantae; Streptophyta; Magnoliopsida; Arecales; Arecaceae. The record is from RNAcentral.